CGUGAGACAAAUUUUCUACUAUAUAUUUAAAAUUAGUCUUCUGUAUAUAUUACUCAAAAUGGAUAGAAAUUUUGCUUUUUACAAAUCCAGGAAGAAUGUAAUAACCAUUCUUUUCAUCCUAGCUCUUGUGGCAAUGCGAAAUAGGGUCGGAAAAGCAAGAUAUAAUUGUGUUCUUAUUGGAGAUAAAUGUGGACCUGGUUUGAAUUCUUGUUGUGCGCAACUUAUAUGUGGUCCAAAAAACAUUUGUAUGGAAGACCCCUACCACAACUGCAAACUCACAGGGGAAAAGUGUGGUUUCAUCUUUGGUAAGUGUUGUAUAGGAGCAGGAAAAUGUUCAGGCCGCGUUUUAAGAAGCAGAUGUCACUAAUUUUGAUCAUCACAACACUCACCUUAUUGCAUGGAAACUGAUGGAGUUGGCUUCCCUCAAAAUGGAGUAUCAGCUAGCAGACUCCUUAGCCAUUCGGCUUCCUGACCUGCCAAUUUUAAAGGUUCCUCAAAGUUGGAUCUUGGCAUCCAUUUGGGGAGAUUGUACUUGGAUUACUUGAAAUUGGAUUUUGAAUCGAUGUCCGGAAUUGUAACGAACUCGAAAAUUGGAAUUUUGUAAGAUUGAAUUUAAUUUUGGAAUUUGGAAGUUGGAUUUUGAAUUUGAAUUGGAAAAGGAAUAAGUUCAUUGUCAUCGCAAUUGUGAUUCCUCUCGAAGUUGCUCCAACCAUAGAUAGACUGGUGAUGUCGUCAUUGAUCGACUCUGAGGGGAGACACAAAUUAAGUAUCUACAGAAUUCCCCCACUUUGAGUAACCUUUUAGUUAGAAAAGCAUUGUAAAAAUUUCAAAUGGGAGAGAGAAUGGUCAAAAUGCUCUGCAAUUAAGACUACCCUUUGUACGUCGAUACCUGCAUAUAACCAACGUAAGAAAGAACAGUUGAGUCUACCUCUGGUCCGACUUGAUGACUCUGAUUCUUGAUCUUGUAUGGCUUAUCUUCUCUGGAACUAUCUUGGAACGGAGCUUGACAUCGAAAAUUUUUAAUACUUUUUUUGAAUUAUACCCUGGGUUAAGUCCGUCGGGUGCUUGAAUUUUGUUUGGGGUUUUGCUCGGGAUUUUGAAUAAGAAAGGAAAAAGGGAUUAAGUAAAAAUAAACAAACAUGAACUACAUGAAUUUGAGUAAUUAUAAAAGUUGAAGGUAAAAUUAAGUGGGGUCAAAUAUAGGCCAGGUUAAAACCACGUCGGUUCAAUACUAUAGGCCGUUUAGAUAAUAGUCCAGGGUAAACCAGAUCGGGCCAAAUCAGAUAGUUUCCUGGUCAAAUCGGUGUUGGAUGGAGUUUAGGUUGGGCAAAUCAGUGUCGGUUAGGUAACAGUUCUGGUCAAACCAAAUCGGGUCAAAUCAACGCCCAAUGGAUGUCAGGUCGGAUCAAAUACAUGACAGGUGGAGUUGAGUCGAAUCCAACCGGUGGUAGAUGGAGUUCGGGCCAGAUCAAAAUGGUGACGGGUAGUUCAAAUCGGGUGAAACGGGUGUCGAGUAGAGUUCAAGUUAGUUACAGAUCAGGUUGGGUCAUUAAUUUUUCUAGUCAAAGGACUUCGUUUACAAUUAGAAACAUGUGAUUUUUCUGAUUGGGUUAGCUUCAUAAUCUUCUUGUUUAUUAAGAGUUACCUCUUAUAUUUUCUCUCUUCUUAAGAGGGAGCUAUUAGUUGCGUAUAUACUACUUCCAUUUCUAAAUAUUUACAUUAUUUAGAUCUUUGACACUAUUCAUACUCUCUUUGUCCCUUAUACUGAGUUCGGCGAGACGACUAUCUGAUAUGUUUUGCA
RNA transcript from Spinacia oleracea (spinach), 1801 nucleotides. RefSeq lists it as uncharacterized. The record is from RefSeq and is a predicted model, not a curated record. Lineage: Eukaryota; Viridiplantae; Streptophyta; Magnoliopsida; Caryophyllales; Amaranthaceae. The transcript has 4 exons.